Long non-coding RNA from Haliotis rufescens (red abalone), 2920 nucleotides. RefSeq lists it as uncharacterized. The record is from RefSeq and is a predicted model, not a curated record. The transcript has 2 exons. NCBI's taxonomy places the organism in Eukaryota, Metazoa, Mollusca, Gastropoda, Lepetellida, Haliotidae.
CAUUGAUUUUUAGUCAUCCAUUCAUAUAAUUUUCACCACUAGUUUGCCAUUUACGCUCAAUGGAAUGUGUUUGGGCGGAUAAUUGAGACUGAUUGUUCUCUGGCGUUGACGUUAUAUAUUUACACGUUUGUCCAACUAUUUGCGCUUAUGAAAUCAUGCAUCAUGUGAUAAUAUUAAUAUAAAGUGAUUACAGCAGCAGAUGUGAGGAAUAUCUGUCUGAACAACUAUGUACACAAGCUUGGUAUGUUGUCACUAUUGCAGGAAUUGAUACGCACAUUUGAAAGUUAGUUUGACGACAUCCUUUUCUUAGAAUUAGAGUGGCAGUGAGGGAAUAUAAAGCCAUCUGUUGUAGUGGAUCCGCGAAAUAGUGACAAUUUUUAAACACUUCCAGAGUUUGAAAACGCAACAGUUAGACACCGACGUAGGUCCAACAUGAUUCUAUUGGUGCAUGAUAAUAGAGAGUAUUUAGUGUAAGGAGGUUAGAUGUAGCGUCGUCACCGGUCUUUGUCAUCGUUGUUAAGGGUUGAUAGGAGUUAUGUACCAUGCCUGUACUCUGAAAGCUUUCUGCACUCCAAAUACAUUGCAAACAGGUUGGAAAGAGAUGUAAAAAUGUGUCCUAACCGCUUCAAUGACGAGAAUGCUGAUGAGCGACGCCAACAUCAGAUACAGCCGGAUUGGGAAACGGCCAAGAACGGAACGGUGUGGUUGCUCAGCAGUAACAGGUGACGCCGACAAUGGAGCUACGUCACGGCCUAUUGUGUCCCCAAAGCUGUUGACAUCACAGAACGAUUACGUCAACAAUCACUUGACGUCAUCAUCAAAUCUGGCUGUCAGCACGGAACACGGCAGGCGGGCUUGUUGCUGCCGUCAGACACGCCUGGUUUACACAGGCCAAUACUGACGAGAUAUGGACUCGAGUUCGACUCAGGUUGGAAAGAGAUGUAAAAAUGUGUCCUAACCGCUUCAAUGACGAGAAUGCUGAUGAGCGACGCCAACAUCAGAUACAGACGGAUUGGGAAACGGCCAAGAACGGAACGGUGUGGUUGCUCAGCAGUAACAGGUGACGCCGACAAUGGAGCUACGUCACGGCCUAUUGUGUCCCCAAAGCUGUUGACAUCACAGAACGAUUACGUCAACAAUCACUUGACGUCAUCAUCAAAUCAGGCUGUCAGCACGGAACACGGCAGGCAGGCUUGUUGCUGCCGUCAGACACGCCUGGUUUACACAGGCCAAUACUGACGAGAUAUGGACUCGAGUUCGACUCAGGUAAACCAGACCCUCUAUUCCCUGCUUGAAAUACAGUUUAGAGUCGCAUCUGAACAAGACAUACACGCUAUAAACUGGCAUGAGCGUGUAUCCAGGGCUUGGUCAUGCGUCUGUCGGUGGUGAAUCGCGCUUGUUGCGCAUUUGUCCUGUUGUGAAAACAUGUUGACAAAUUCGGAGUGGAUAUCUGUUUAUAAGCCCAGUCUGAAACAUUGUUGUUACCGGUAGGGCAGGGCAUGCUUACCCUUUCGCGAACACCUGGUGUCAUCAUUGAUUUUUAGUCAUCCAUUCAUAUAAUUUUCACCACUAGUUUGCCAUUUACGCUCAAUGGAAUGUGUUUGGGCGGAUAAUUGAGACUGAUUGUUCUCUGGCGUUGACGUUAUAUAUUUACACGUUUGUCCAACUAUUUGCGCUUAUGAAAUCAUGCAUCAUGUGAUAAUAUUAAUAUAAAGUGAUUACAGCAGCAGAUGUGAGGAAUAUCUGUCUGAACAACUAUGUACACAAGCUUGGUAUGUUGUCACUAUUGCAGGAAUUGAUACGCACAUUUGAAAGUUAGUUUGACGACAUCCUUUUCUUAGAAUUAGAGUGGCAGUGAGGGAAUAUAAAGCCAUCUGUUGUAGUGGAUCCGCGAAAUAGUGACAAUUUUUAAACACUUCCAGAGUUUGAAAACGCAACAGUUAGACACCGACGUAGGUCCAACAUGAUUCUAUUGGUGCAUGAUACUAGAGAGUAUUUAGUGUAAGGAGGUUAGAUGUAGCGUCGUCACCUGUCUUUGUCGUGGUUGUUAAGGGUUGAUAGGAGUUAUGUACCAUGCCUGUACUCUGAAAGCUUUCUGCACUCCAAAUACAUUGCAAACAGGUUGGAAAGAGAUGUAAAAAUGUGUCCUAACCGCUUCAAUGACGAGAAUGCUGAUGAGCGACGCCAACAUCAGAUACAGACGGAUUGGGAAACGGCCAAGAACGGAACGGUGUGGUUGCUCAGCAGUAACAGGUGACGCCGACAAUGGAGCUACGUCACGGCCUAUUGUGUCCCCAAAGCUGUUGACAUCACAGAACGAUUACGUCAACAAUCACUUGACGUCAUCAUCAAAUCAGGCUGUCAGCACGGAACACGGCAGGCAGGCUUGUUGUUGCCGUCAGACACGCCUGGUUUACACAGGCCAAUACUGACGAGAUAUGGACUCGAGUUCGACUCAGGUAAACCAGACCCUCUAUUCCCUGCUUGAAAUACAGUCUAGAGUCGCAUCUGAACAAGACAUACACGCUAUAAACUGGCAUGAGCGUGUAUCCAGGGCUUGGUCAUGCGUCUGUCGGUGGUGAAUCGCGCUUGUUGCGCAUUUGUCCUAUUGUGAAAACAUGUUGACAAAUUCGGAGUGGAUAUCUGUUUAUAAGCCCAGUCUGAAACAUUGUUGUUACCGGUAGGGCAGGGCAUGCUUACCCUUUCGCGAACACCUAGUGUCAUCAUUGAUUUUUAGUCAUCCAUUCAUAUAAUUUUCACCACUAGUUUGCCAUUUACGCUCAAUGGAAUGUGUUUGGGCGGAUAAUUGAGACUGAUUGUUCUCUGGCGUUGACGUUAUAUAUUUACACGUUUGUCCAACUAUUUGCGCUUAUGAAAUCAUGCAUCAUGUGAUAAUAUUAAUAUAAAGUGAUUACAGCAG